RNAcentral lists this ribosomal RNA (552 nucleotides) under uncultured bacterium. RNAcentral's name for it is "bacterial SSU rRNA". It matches the Rfam family "Bacterial small subunit ribosomal RNA", at positions 355 to 896 of the family's 1533-position model. The record is from RNAcentral.
UGGGGAAUUUUGGGCAAUGGGCGCAAGCCUGACCCAGCAACGCCGCGUGGAGGAUGAAGGCCUUCGGGUUGUAAACUCCUGUCAGGUGGGAAGAAACGCUCGUCGGUAAAUAGCCGACGGGAGUCGACGGUACCACCAAAGGAAGCCCCGGCUAACUCCGUGCCAGCAGCCGCGGUAAUACGGAGGGGGCAAGCGUUAUUCGGAUUUACUGGGCGUAAAGCGCACGUAGGCGGCCAGGCAUGUCGACGGUGAAAGCCCUCGGCUCAACCGAGGAACUGCCAUCGAAACUGCCUGGCUUGAGUCCGGGAGGGGGGAGCGGAAUUCCCAAAGUAGCGGUGAAAUGCGUAGAUAUUGGGAAGAACACCAGUGGCGAAGGCGGCUCCCUGGACCGGUACUGACGCUGAGGUGCGAAAGCGUGGGUAGCAAACAGGAUUAGAUACCCUGGUAGUCCACGCCGUAAACGAUGGGCACUAGGUGCAGCGGGUGUCGACCCCUGCUGUGCCGAAGUUAACGCAUUAAGUACUCCGCCUGGGGACUACGGCCGCAAGGCUA